RNAcentral lists this ribosomal RNA (355 nucleotides) under uncultured bacterium. RNAcentral's name for it is "partial 16S ribosomal RNA". It matches the Rfam family "Bacterial small subunit ribosomal RNA", at positions 338 to 710 of the family's 1533-position model. The record is from RNAcentral.
CCUACGGGAGGCAGCAGUAGGGAAUAUUGCUCAAUGGGGGAAACUCUGACGCAGCAACGCCGCGUGGCUGAUGAAGGUUUUCGGAUUGUAAACUCCUUUUGUUAGAUAAGAUCAUGACCGUUUCUAACGAAUAAGCACCGGCUAACUCCGUGCCAGCAACCGCGGUAAUACGGAGGGUGCAAGCGUUACUCGGAAUGACUGGGGGGAAAGUGCGCGUAGGCUGGUUAGCAUGUGUGAUGUGAAAUCCUAGGGCUUAACCAUAGAACCGCAUUUGAAAAUGUUAUUCUAGAGGUGGGGAGAGGUAGGUGGAAUUCUUGGUGUAGGGGUAAAAUCCGUAGAGAUAAAGAGGAAUACU